RNAcentral lists this small RNA (1733 nucleotides) under Mus musculus (house mouse). RNAcentral describes it as "lncRNA Hog". Lineage: Eukaryota; Metazoa; Chordata; Mammalia; Rodentia; Muridae. The record is from RNAcentral.
GAUACAUGGCCAUUUGACAUACCCGUGUUAAGUUCAAUCUUGCUACAAAAGAAGGCCAUUUGUACUUCCUGACCCUGAAAGCAAGAACUGUGUCUCUUUAAAUCUACUGAGGAAGAUAUUCCUUCUGGCCCACAGGAUGCCAAAAUGACUCGAUGAUUUAUUUAUGCAGCGCUUGGCAGCCCAUCGUCCAGAUUGUGGCUGAAGCUGAAUUUUAUGAGCCUUCCCCCGAAAAACUGGAAGAUUUUGCCAUCUUACAAGCCCUCUUCCUUAAGAAAGAGAAAGAUGAGCAGUAAAUAUCCUCUGGCACGUCGGCACAUUCUGUCUCUUCGUGUUUUCAUGAAGUGUUCAUGACAUGGGAUUGAAGUACUCCUUUGUGUUCAGUAUUUGAUAUCAAAUCCUUUACAGAUCACUGGGAGAAUGGUAGAAGGAAUGAUGAGCUUUCCCUGAAGGUUCCAGCUUCUUCCUGCCACUAUUCUCUAGGGUGGGGUCACCUUCAUCUGGUUCCAGGAUGCAGCAUGCCCAGGUCUAAGAAGUCACCCCUUUUGUUACAGUCACUAGACUUUAUCAGGGUCUUGUCAAUCUCUCUGGCGAUUUGCAUGAUUCCCAGGUACUCAAGAACAGUUAGGAAGCAAUGUUCUUUAUGGGAAAAUAUUUUCAAAUUGUCAUAUGAAGACUCAACAAAAAGAAAAACAGAGAAGAAGGAGGAAAAGAAGAAGAAAGAAGAAUAAAAAGAAAGAGAUAAAGAAAUAAACAAACAAAAUAAAAAGGCUCUCCUGUACUUCUUUUUCAGGGUGAGAAAGCUUGGUGUUCAGGACAAUGGAUGCCAAAUAGAACAGGGCCAUCGCUCUACAGUCAAUGUAGAAAAUUGGAGCAUCACAGUGUCAGAUCAUUCCCACGCUAUCAAACCAAAUAUGACCAGGCAAGAAACAGAACGGAAAUGGAGAGGAGAGCCCAGCAUGACUUGCGCCGUGCCAAAGGAAUACGUGUGAGUUGGCUUCGUGUCAUCGUAACAAAACCCUGAGAGAAAUAUCUUGAAAGAGCCAGGUUGGUCCAGACCUGCUGGCAAGCCUGCAGCCCCAUCCACCGAUUACCUAAUACACUUGUGACAUCUGCUUUCCUUGUUGUGAGAAAACACAGGGAGGAAGUGGGUGCAGAAGGGGUGAUGCCUGACCUACACACCCGGCAAUACCAGAAGUUUCACUACCUUCCGUUGGUAAACGCUUCAGGGAAGGCUCUGCAACCCUGAACGUGUUUUAUUGUAGAACCUCACUAGGAAACUCAUCAGUAUUUAUUAAAGAUGAAUUAAAAGAAGGAGGAAAAGGAAAAACGGGAUAGUGAAGAGAAUAGAUGAAUGAAAAAGAAGCAAAGGGAAGAGAGGAGGAAGGGACAAAGAGGGCAAGAAAAGAGAAAAGAGAGAUGAGAGACCAGGACUUCCCACCUAACCUUACCAAACUUUUUCAGUUGAGCUUUUAAUGGGAUACUAUUCCCAAGAGGAAAUUCAAAAAGAAAACCACCUUGAAACAUCCUUGCUUUUAAUUGUACUCUUUCAACUGCCAGGAAAUUAAUUAGGAGUCUAUGCCAUGUACUCCAGCCCUGCAUAGAAUGAGUUCUGGAGUUCACCUGGAGCCCACGGAGAGUGGAUGUGGAACUUUUCUGUAGAACAUAGGAGCCGUCUGUACCGGCACAGCUUCAGCCAGCAAUAAGCAUUACCAGCUCCUGCCAGAGGAGCAAGA